CUGCGGGACGCUCCAGCUGCGAAUUUUCUACAAUGCACGCAAGUGUGAUAGAGCGAGCCAAAGUGCUUAUCGUACAGAUAAGCUUUUCUUCAGUGUAAAAAUCUGGAGGAAUAAGGACUGGGAAAGAUCGGUGCCAGCCGCCGCGGUAAUACCGACAGUUCGAGUGGCAUCCAACUUUAUUGGGUCUAAAACAUCCGUAGCUUGUUAUUUAAGUCUCUUGUGAAAUCUAACGUCUCAAGCGUUAGGCUUGCAGGAGAUACUGAAUAGCUAGAGACCGGUAGGCGUAAGGAGUACGGCGAAGGUAGCGGUAAAAUGUGUUAAUCUUCGUUGGACUAACGAUUUAGCGAAGGCACCUUACGAGGACGGAUCUGACAGUCAGGGAUGAAGGCCAGGGGCGCAAAACGGAUUAGAUACCCUUGUAGUC
RNAcentral lists this ribosomal RNA (424 nucleotides) under uncultured archaeon. RNAcentral's name for it is "partial 16S ribosomal RNA". It matches the Rfam family "Archaeal small subunit ribosomal RNA", at positions 323 to 746 of the family's 1478-position model. The record is from RNAcentral.